RNAcentral lists this unclassified non-coding RNA (342 nucleotides) under soil metagenome. RNAcentral describes it as "partial contains 5.8S ribosomal RNA, internal transcribed spacer 2, and large subunit ribosomal RNA". The stretch from base 1 to 120 matches the Rfam family "5.8S ribosomal RNA", at positions 35 to 154 of the family's 154-position model. The record is from RNAcentral.
GAUGAAGAACGCAGUGAAAUGCGAUAAGUAAUGUGAAUUGCAGAAUUCAGUGAAUCAUCGAAUCUUUGAACGCACAUUGCGCCCGCCAGUAUUCUGGCGGGCAUGCCUGUUCGAGCGUCAUUUCAACCCUCAGGCCCCGCCUGGCGUUGGGGAUCGGCGCGGCCCUCUCCGGGCUGCCGGCCCCGAAAACUAGUGGCGGUCUCGCUGUAGUCCUCCUCUGCGCAGUAGCAACGCUCGCACUGGAACUCGGCGCGGCCACGCCGUAAAACACCCCACUUCUGAAAGUUGACCUCGGAUCAGGUAGGAAUACCCGCUGAACUUAAGCAUAUCAAAAGCGGAGGA